GCUCAUUACAACAGCUAAAAUUUACUUGAUUUUGACUUUUAUCCUACAUGGAUAACUGUGGUAAUUCUGGAGCUAAUACAUGCAUAAAAGAUAAAACAUUUUACUGUUUUAUUGCGUAUAUUAGUAUUAAAACCAAGCAUUCUUCGGAAUGUUUUGUGUUGAAACUGAAUAUAUCAUGCUGAUCGUAUGGUCUUGUACCGACGACAUGUCAUUCAAGUGUCUGAUCUAUCAACUUUCUAUAUAAGUAUAUAGUACUUAUAUGGUUUUAACGGAUAACGGGGUAUUAGGGUACGACUCCGGAGAAAAUGCCUGAGAAACGGCGUUUACAUCCAAGGAAGGCAGCAGGCGCGAAAAUUACCCACUCUCAGUACGAGGAGGUAGUGACGAGAAAUGACAAGAUCUAUUCCUUCGGGGAUGGAUCAUUGGAAUGGUUUGAUUUUAAAAUCAUUAAAGAGUAUCAAUGAGAGGGCAAGUCUGGUGCCAGCAGCCGCGGUAAUUCCAGCU
This 504-nucleotide ribosomal RNA is filed under the name Panagrolaimus trilabiatus. RNAcentral's name for it is "SSU rRNA". It matches the Rfam family "Eukaryotic small subunit ribosomal RNA", at positions 96 to 590 of the family's 1831-position model. Lineage: Eukaryota; Metazoa; Nematoda; Chromadorea; Rhabditida; Panagrolaimidae. The record is from RNAcentral.